RNAcentral lists this unclassified non-coding RNA (154 nucleotides) under Didymella macrophylla. Its description in RNAcentral is "partial internal transcribed spacer 2". The record is from RNAcentral. Lineage: Eukaryota; Fungi; Ascomycota; Dothideomycetes; Pleosporales; Didymellaceae.
GUACCUUCAAGCCUUGCUUGGUGUUGGGUGUUUGUCUCGCCUUUGCGCGCAGACUCGCCUCAAAACAAUUGGCAGCCGGCGUAUUGAUUUCGGAGCGCAGUACAUCUCGCGCUUUGCACUCAGAACGACGACGUCCAAAAGUACAUUUUUACAC